GACGAACGCUGGCGGCGUGCUUAACACAUGCAAGUCGAACGGAAAGGCCCUGCUUUUGUGGGGUGCUCGAGUGGCGAACGGGUGAGUAACACGUGAGUAACCUGCCCUUGACUUUGGGAUAACUUCAGGAAACUGGGGCUAAUACCGGAUAGGAGCUCCUGCUGCAUGGUGGGGGUUGGAAAGUUUCGGCGGUUGGGGAUGGACUCGCGGCUUAUCAGCUUGUUGGUGGGGUAGUGGCUUACCAAGGCUUUGACGGGUAGCCGGCCUGAGAGGGUGACCGGCCACAUUGGGACUGAGAUACGGCCCAGACUCCUACGGGAGGCAGCAGUGGGGAAUAUUGCACAAUGGGCGGAAGCCUGAUGCAGCAACGCCGCGUGCGGGAUGACGGCCUUCGGGUUGUAAACCGCUUUCGCCUGUGACGAAGCGUGAGUGACGGUAAUGGGUAAAGAAGCACCGGCUAACUACGUGCCAGCAGCCGCGGUGAUACGUAGGGUGCGAGCGUUGUCCGGAUUUAUUGGGCGUAAAGGGCUCGUAGGUGGUUGAUCGCGUCGGAAGUGUAAUCUUGGGGCUUAACCCUGAGCGUGCUUUCGAUACGGGUUGACUUGAGGAAGGUAGGGGAGAAUGGAAUUCCUGGUGGAGCGGUGGAAUGCGCAGAUAUCAGGAGGAACACCAGUGGCGAAGGCGGUUCUCUGGGCCUUUCCUGACGCUGAGGAGCGAAAGCGUGGGGAGCGAACAGGCUUAGAUACCCUGGUAGUCCACGCUGUAAACGGUGGGUACUAGGUGUGGGGUCCAUUCCACGGGUUCCGUGCCGUAGCUAACGCUUUAAGUACCCCGCCUGGGGAGUACGGCCGCAAGGCUAAAACUCAAAGGAAUUGACGGGGCCCCGCACAAGCGGCGGAGCAUGCGGAUUAAUUCGAUGCAACGCGUAGAACCUUACCUGGGUUUGACAUGGAUCGGGAGUGCUCAGAGAUGGGUGUGCCUCUUUUGGGGUCGGUUCACAGGUGGUGCAUGGCUGUCGUCAGCUCGUGUCGUGAGGCGUUGGGUUAAGUCCCGCAACGAGCGCAACCCUUGUUCACUGUUGCCAGCACGUUAUGGUGGGGACUCAGUGGAGACCACCGGGGUCAACUCGGAGGAAGGUGGGGAUGACGUCAAGUCAUCAUGCCCCUUAUGUCCAGGGCUUCACGCAUGCUACAAUGGCUGGUACAGAGAGUGGCGAGCCUGUGAGGGUGAGCGAAUCUCGGAAAGCCGGUCUCAGUUCGGAUUGGGGUCUGCAACUCGACCUCAUGAAGUUGGAGUCGCUAGUAAUCGCAGAUCAGCAACGCUGCGGUGAAUACGUUCCCGGGGCU
Molecule: ribosomal RNA, 1346 nt
Filed under: uncultured bacterium
Lineage: Bacteria
Description: partial 16S ribosomal RNA
Rfam family: Bacterial small subunit ribosomal RNA
Source: RNAcentral